GACGAACGCUGGCGGCGUGCUUAACACAUGCAAGUCGAACGGUGAAGCGCCUUCCUUUUUGGUGGGUGUGGAUGAGUGGCGAACGGGUGAGUAACACGUGAGUAACCUGCCCCCUUCUUCUGGAGAACCGCAUGAAAGUGUGGCUAAUACGGGAUAUUCUGGGUCUGUCGCAUGAUGGGUCUGGGAAAGAUAUUGUUUCGGAGGGGGAUGGGCUCGCGGCCUAUCAGCUUGUUGGUGGGGUGAUGGCCUACCAAGGCGGUGACGGGUAGCCGGCCUGAGAGGGUGGCCGGUCACACUGGGACUGAGACACGGCCCAGACUCCUACGGGAGGCAGCAGUGGGGAAUAUUGCACAAUGGGCGCAAGCCUGAUGCAGCGACGCCGCGUGCGGGAUGGAGGCCUUCGGGUUGUGAACCUCUUUCGCCAGUGAAGCAGGCCUGCCUCGUUUGUGGGUGGGUUGACGGUAGCUGGAGAAGAAGCGCCGGCUAACUACGUG
RNAcentral lists this ribosomal RNA (494 nucleotides) under uncultured bacterium. RNAcentral describes it as "partial 16S ribosomal RNA". It matches the Rfam family "Bacterial small subunit ribosomal RNA", at positions 28 to 507 of the family's 1533-position model. The record is from RNAcentral.